GCGGUUUUAGCUCAGUCGGGAGAGCGUUAGACUGAAGAUCUAAAGGUCCUGUGUUCAAUCCACAGAAAUCGCA
This is a transfer RNA of 73 nucleotides. It matches the Rfam family "tRNA". Rfam says of the family: Transfer RNA (tRNA) molecules are approximately 80 nucleotides in length. The record is from Rfam.